Molecule: ribosomal RNA, 253 nt
Filed under: uncultured bacterium
Lineage: Bacteria
Description: partial 16S ribosomal RNA
Rfam family: Bacterial small subunit ribosomal RNA
Source: RNAcentral
UACGUAGGGUGCAAGCGUUGUCCGGAAUUAUUGGGCGUAAAGAGCUCGUAGGCGGUCUGUCGCGUCGGCUGUGAAAACCCGGAGCUCAACUCCGGGCUUGCAGUCGAUACGGGCAGACUGGAGUUCGGCAGGGGAGACUGGAAUUCCUGGUGUAGCGGUGAAAUGCGCAGAUAUCAGGAGGAACACCGGUGGCGAAGGCGGGUCUCUGGGUAGUAACUGACGCUGAGGAACGAAAGCGUGGGUAGCGAACAGG